AGAGUUUGAUCCUGGCUCAGAACGAACGCUGGCGGCAGGCCUAACACAUGCAAGUCGAGCGCGCCCUUCGGGGUGAGCGGCGGACGGGUUAGUAACGCGUGGGAAUAUACCCGACACUAAGGAAUAGCCUCUGGAAACGGAGAGUAAUACCUUAUACGCCCUUCGGGGGAAAGAUUUAUCGGUGACGGAUUAGCCCGCGUUAGAUUAGAUAGUUGGUGGGGUAAUGGCCUACCAAGUCUACGAUCUAUAGCUGGUUUUAGAGGAUGAUCAGCAACACUGGGACUGAGACACGGCCCAGACUCCUACGGGAGGCAGCAGUGGGGAAUCUUGGACAAUGGGCGCAAGCCUGAUCCAGCCAUGCCGCGUGAGUGAUGAAGGCCUUAGGGUCGUAAAGCUCUUUCGCCAGAGAUGAUAAUGACAGUAUCUGGUAAAGAAACCCCGGCUAACUCCGUGCCAGCAGCCGCGGUAAUACGGAGGGGGUUAGCGUUGUUCGGAAUUACUGGGCGUAAAGCGCGCGUAGGCGGAUUAGUAAGUUAGAGGUGAAAUCCCGGGGCUCAACCCCGGAACUGCCUUUAAUACUGCUAGUCUUGAGUUCGAGAGAGGUGAGUGGAAUUCCGAGUGUAGAGGUGAAAUUCGUAGAUAUUCGGA
This 648-nucleotide ribosomal RNA is filed under the name uncultured Alphaproteobacteria bacterium. RNAcentral's name for it is "bacterial SSU rRNA". It matches the Rfam family "Bacterial small subunit ribosomal RNA", at positions 8 to 702 of the family's 1533-position model. The record is from RNAcentral. Lineage: Bacteria; Pseudomonadati; Pseudomonadota; Alphaproteobacteria.